This 495-nucleotide ribosomal RNA is filed under the name uncultured bacterium. Its description in RNAcentral is "partial 16S ribosomal RNA". It matches the Rfam family "Bacterial small subunit ribosomal RNA", at positions 28 to 507 of the family's 1533-position model. The record is from RNAcentral.
GACGAACGCUGGCGGCGUGCCUAAUACAUGCAAGUCGAACGCUGAAGGAGGAGCUUGCUUCUCUGGAUGAGUUGCGAACGGGUGAGUAACGCGUAGGUAACCUGCCUGGUAGCGGGGGAUAACUAUUGGAAACGAUAGCUAAUACCGCAUAAUAGUAGAUGUCGCAUGACAUUUGCUUAAAAGGUGCAAUUGCAUCACUGCCAGAUGGACCUGCGUUGUAUUAGCUAGUUGGUGAGGUAACGGCUCACCAAGGCAACGAUACAUAGCCGACCUGAGAGGGUGAUCGGCCACACUGGGACUGAGACACGGCCCAGACUCCUACGGGAGGCAGCAGUAGGGAAUCUUCGGCAAUGGACGGAAGUCUGACCGAGCAACGCCGCGUGAGUGAAGAAGGGUUUCGGAUCGUAAAGCUCUGUUGUAAGAGAAGAACGAGUGUGAGAGUGGAAAGUUCACACUGUGACGGUAUCUUACCAGAAAGGGACGGCUAACUACGUG